RNAcentral lists this ribosomal RNA (253 nucleotides) under uncultured bacterium. RNAcentral describes it as "partial 16S ribosomal RNA". It matches the Rfam family "Bacterial small subunit ribosomal RNA", at positions 524 to 776 of the family's 1533-position model. The record is from RNAcentral.
UACGUAGGGUGCAAGCAUUAAUCGGAUUUAUUGGGCGUAAAGGGCGCGUAGGCGGGAAAGUUAGUCAGAUGUGAAAUCCCGGAGCUCAACUCCGGAACAGCAUUUGAAACUGCUUUUCUAGAGGGUAGGCGGAGAAAACGGAAUUCCACAAGUAGCGGUGAAAUGCGUAGAUAUGUGGAAGAACACCAGUGGCGAAGGCGGUUUUCUAGCUUACACCUGACGCUGAGGCGCGAAAGCAAGGGGAGCAAACAGG